Molecule: long non-coding RNA, 1028 nt
Filed under: Equus asinus (donkey)
Lineage: Eukaryota; Metazoa; Chordata; Mammalia; Perissodactyla; Equidae
Description: lncRNA (ENSEASG00005011461.2)
Source: RNAcentral
AAGAACUUUCUAUUUUUCUGUUUGGCCUUCUUAACACAAGGCUUUCAAACUCAAUGUUCCUUCAUGGUCACAAGAUGGCUGCUAGGUCUCUAGCCAUCACAACCACCUUCCAGCCAGGACAAAGAGGAAGGUGAGAAGGGCAAAAAGCUAUGCUUUCCACCUGAGUCAGCCUCCUUUAGGAAAAGUUCCCAGACACUCACUUCUUCCACUUAUAUUUCACUGGCUGUCCCUAGCUACAAGGGAAAUAUUUUGUUGUCUCAAAUACAUUGAAUAUAUUGCCUUUACGUCAUCACUUUUGGUUGCUCUACAGUAUACAUUACUUACUUUCUGGUUCUCAAUUAUAUUCUAGUUAGGUGGAAUAUGACUCAAUAUUUAAAAUAAAUAUAAGUGUUUUGAUUUUCAUGGCCCUUGGCUACUGUCAAAGAUAAAUCAAUAGCUAUACAAUGGAUAAAACAUUAAGCAUCAAAAUCCUAUCCAGGGAGCACUGUGGAAGUGGCAAAACUAACUCCCACAAUUGCAGUUAAUUCAGUUCCAUGUUUACUGAACAGCUUUAGUGCCGGCUAGACGCAGUCGCCUGUGGUGGGCAGUGGGGACAAUCGGGACGGCCCUGUCCUUGAGGAGGUCCAGCUUCCGUGACUCACAGUUUGAUGCCUACCCACUAGAAGUCCUGGGCGAGCGGUGGUGACUUUCUGGGCUCCAGAGUCUGUGCCAUCUUCAUUCAUUCGUCCUCCACGCAUUUCCUGAGCUCCUCCUGCUCCGGGCUGGGGUUCCACAGGUGAAUCAGACUCGACUCUUACCCUCAACACAGGGACAAGCAUCACAGAAGUGAGACAGCAAAUGACUGCUCGUUUCCUGCAACUGUGUGUGCUCAUCCUGGCCUGGACUCCUAUAGACGCUUAGACUCCUCACCUCAGGGACAGCCAGCAGGACUCAGUCCCACCAGAGGGUAACCACGGGCACAAGCUGCUGAAUCCAGCUGGACUUCUCAGCAGCACGGACAUGCUUGAUCCCUCUCCCUUUGAAAUGCU